AUUGAACGCUGGCGGCAGGCCUAACACAUGCAAGUCGAGCGGAUGAAGGGAGCUUGCUCCUGGAUUCAGCGGCGGACGGGUGAGUAAUGCCUAGGAAUCUGCCUGGUAGUGGGGGAUAACGUCCGGAAACGGGCGCUAAUACCGCAUACGUCCUGAGGGAGAAAGUGGGGGAUCUUCGGACCUCACGCUAUCAGAUGAGCCUAGGUCGGAUUAGCUAGUUGGUGGGGUAAAGGCCUACCAAGGCGACGAUCCGUAACUGGUCUGAGAGGAUGAUCAGUCACGCUGGAACUGAGACACGGUCCAGACUCCUACGGGAGGCAGCAGUGGGGAAUAUUGGACAAUGGGCGAAAGCCUGAUCCAGCCAUGCCGCGUGUGUGAAGAAGGUCUUCGGAUUGUAAAGCACUUUAAGUUGGGAGGAAGGGCAGUAAGUCAAUACCUUGCUGUUUUGACGUUACCAACAGAAUAAGCACCGGCUAACUUCGUG
This 484-nucleotide ribosomal RNA is filed under the name uncultured bacterium. RNAcentral's name for it is "partial 16S ribosomal RNA". It matches the Rfam family "Bacterial small subunit ribosomal RNA", at positions 30 to 507 of the family's 1533-position model. The record is from RNAcentral.